ACGGGAGGCAGCAGUCGGGAAUAUUGCGCAAUGGAGGAAACUCUGACGCAGUGACGCCGCGUAUAGGAAGAAGGUUUUCGGAUUGUAAACUAUUGUCGUUAGGGAAGAAAAAAGACAGUACCUAAGGAGGAAGCACUGGCUAACUAUGUGCCAGCGGCCGCGGUAAUACAUAGGGUGCAAGCGUUAUCCGGAUUUAUUGGGUGUAAAGGGUGCGUAGAUGGGAAUUUAAGUUAGUUGUGAAAUCCCCCGGCUUAACUGGGGAACUGCAACUAAAACUGAAUUUCUUGAGUGCUGGAGGGGAAAGUGGAAUUCCUAGUGUAGCGGUGAAAUGCGUAGAUAUUAGGAAGAACACCAGUGGCGAAGGCGAUCUACUGGACGAUAACUGACGCUGAGGCGCGAAAGCGUGGGGAGCAAACAGGAUUAGAUACCCUGGUA
The sequence is a ribosomal RNA, 435 nucleotides long. It matches the Rfam family "Bacterial small subunit ribosomal RNA", at positions 341 to 792 of the family's 1533-position model.